GCGGGUAUAGUACAACGGUUAGUAUAUCAGCUUUCCAAGCUGAGGAUACGGGUUCGAUUCCCGUUACCCGCU
Molecule: transfer RNA, 72 nt
Filed under: Patescibacteria group bacterium
Lineage: Bacteria
Description: tRNA-Gly
Rfam family: tRNA
About the family: Transfer RNA (tRNA) molecules are approximately 80 nucleotides in length. Their secondary structure includes four short double-helical elements and three loops (D, anti-codon, and T loops).
Source: RNAcentral